UAAUACAUGCAAGUCGAACGCUUCUUUUUCCACCGGAGCUUGCUCCACCGGAAAAAGAGGAGUGGCGAACGGGUGAGUAACACGUGGGUAUCCUGCCCAUCAGAAGGGGAUAACACUCGGAAACAGGUGCUAAUACCGUAUAACAAUCAAAACUGCAUGGUUUUGAUUUGAAAGGCGCUUUCGGGUGUCCAUGAUGGAUGGACCCGCGGUGCAUUAGCUAGUUGGUGAGGUAACGGCUCACCAAGGCCACGAUGCAUAGCCGACCUGAGAGGGUGAUCGGCCACACUGGGACUGAGACACGGCCCAAACUCCUACGGGAGGCAGCAGUAGGGAAUCUUCGGCAAUGGACGAAAGUCUGACCGAGCAACGCCGCGUGAGUGAAGAAGGUUUUCGGAUCGUAAACGCUCUGUUGUUAGAGAAGAACAAGGAUGAGAGUAACUGUUCAUCCCUUGACGGUAUCUAACCAGAAAGCCACGGCUAACUACGUGCCAGCAGCCGCGGUAAUACGUAGGUGGCAAGCGUUGUCCGGAUUUAUUGGGCGUAAAGCGAGCGCAGGCGGUUUAUUAAGUCUGAUGUGAAAGCCCCCGGCUCAACCGGGGAGGGUCAUUGGAAAUCUGGGAGACUUGAGUGCAGAAGAGGAGAGUGGAAUUCCAUGUGUAGCGGUGAAAUGCGUAGAUAUAUGGAGGAACACCCAGUGGCGAAGGCGGCUCUUCUGGUCUGUAACUGACG
Molecule: ribosomal RNA, 729 nt
Filed under: Enterococcus faecium
Lineage: Bacteria; Bacillati; Bacillota; Bacilli; Lactobacillales; Enterococcaceae
Description: bacterial SSU rRNA
Rfam family: Bacterial small subunit ribosomal RNA
Source: RNAcentral